GAAAGCCGUAUGAGGGAAAACCUCACGUACGGUUUGAUGAGGGGAAGCCAUCUCUAAAGAAAUCUGUUUCAGUUUUCUACUCUAC
This 85-nucleotide non-coding RNA is filed under the name Bacillus sp. 491mf. Lineage: Bacteria; Bacillati; Bacillota; Bacilli; Caryophanales; Bacillaceae. The record is from RNAcentral.